Long non-coding RNA from Oxyura jamaicensis (ruddy duck), 350 nucleotides. RefSeq lists it as uncharacterized. The transcript has 3 exons. NCBI's taxonomy places the organism in Eukaryota, Metazoa, Chordata, Aves, Anseriformes, Anatidae. The record is from RefSeq and is a predicted model, not a curated record.
GGGAAAUGAGCUUUGAUUCAAAACCAGUGUGUUUCUAGCCAUUUUGUAGCUGUGGAGGAAACACUGCUGUUGUAUGGUCGAAAGGCUCUGGAACCAGAAGCUGAAGGAUAACUUGCAGUUAUUCACACCCGGGCUGAGCUGCUGGCAUGCCUGCCUUUCCGUGUACUUCCUCAGAACCUGCGUGUUACGACGACCAGCUGGAAGUUCAGACCCUUUGUGUGUUUAAAAAGCUGUUGUACCUUUCUCCUUGGAUUGUUAGCUACCUAAAGAGCUGGCAAGUUGUCUGUCAUUUCUCAAAACUCGGCUCCCCAAUUCGCAGAGCAGUGCCACCACAAGCUGCACUUACUCUA